CAGAGACACACGAUACUUCAACCCAAAAGAAAACGCCCUCUAAUAAGUAUAAUAUAAUAAUUGCACCAUCAAAGCAGAGAGCGCGCAACUGCACACAGACCAUAUAGAGAUGAAUAAUUAAUUAAGAUCACAGCGAACGCUCUCUAGUCUCUGGUUAUGCGGCAUGAAUCAUAACAACUCAGAGAAGCAGCAUCGCAACGGAGGCGGCGGCGAGCGUGAAGACGCCGCCGAAUCCGAUAACGGAGGAGGACGCAGCGCUUUCCGGCGCCGGCGCCGGCGCCGGCACGAGGUCCGGGAUGAUGACGCUGUAAUUCGGAGCUGGGGCCUCAGCCACGUGGCAAGCAGCCAUUGGUGGGCCCACCACGAGAAGGGCCAACACCAACACUACGGCCACCAUGAAAGGCUUCGACG
Molecule: long non-coding RNA, 411 nt
Filed under: Ananas comosus (pineapple)
Lineage: Eukaryota; Viridiplantae; Streptophyta; Magnoliopsida; Poales; Bromeliaceae
Description: long non-coding RNA (ACOM_LNC025099)
Source: RNAcentral